RNAcentral lists this ribosomal RNA (341 nucleotides) under Nematoda environmental sample. RNAcentral describes it as "SSU rRNA". It matches the Rfam family "Eukaryotic small subunit ribosomal RNA", at positions 1300 to 1665 of the family's 1831-position model. Lineage: Eukaryota; Metazoa; Nematoda. The record is from RNAcentral.
CGUGGAGCGAUUUGUCUGGUUUAUUCCGAUAACGAGCGAGACUCUAGCCUAUUAAAUAGUCUACACAUUGCUAUUGUGAUGUAGUACUUCUUAGAGGGAUUUUCGGUGUACAGCCGCACGAGAUUGAGCAAUAACAGGUCUGUGAUGCCCUUAGAUGUCCGGGGCUGCACGCGCGCUACACUGGCGAAAUCAGCGUGCUUUUCCUCUCUCGAAAGGGAUUGGUAAACUGUUGAAAAUUUGCCGUGAUUGGGAUCGGAAAUUGCAAUUAUUUUCCGUGAACGAGGAAUUCCAAGUAAAUGCGAGUCAUCAACUCGCGUUGAAUACGUCCCUGCCCUUUGUAC